This 253-nucleotide ribosomal RNA is filed under the name Mediterraneibacter gnavus ATCC 29149. Its description in RNAcentral is "[Ruminococcus] gnavus ATCC 29149 partial 16S ribosomal RNA". It matches the Rfam family "Bacterial small subunit ribosomal RNA", at positions 524 to 776 of the family's 1533-position model. RNAcentral also lists the same sequence under 1 other name. The record is from RNAcentral. Lineage: Bacteria; Bacillati; Bacillota; Clostridia; Lachnospirales; Lachnospiraceae.
UACGUAGGGGGCAAGCGUUAUCCGGAUUUACUGGGUGUAAAGGGAGCGUAGACGGCAUGGCAAGCCAGAUGUGAAAGCCCGGGGCUCAACCCCGGGACUGCAUUUGGAACUGUCAGGCUAGAGUGUCGGAGAGGAAAGCGGAAUUCCUAGUGUAGCGGUGAAAUGCGUAGAUAUUAGGAGGAACACCAGUGGCGAAGGCGGCUUUCUGGACGGUGACUGACGUUGAGGCUCGAAAGCGUGGGGAGCAAACAGG